UACGUAGGGCGCGAGCGUUGUCCGGAUUUAUUGGGCGUAAAGAGCUCGUAGGCGGCUUGUCGCGUCGAAUGUGAAAUCUCAGGGCUCAACUCUGACAUUGCAUUCGAUACGGGCAGGCUAGAGUUCGGUAGGGGAGACUGGAAUUCCUGGUGUAGCGGUGAAAUGCGCAGAUAUCAGGAGGAACACCGGUGGCGAAGGCGGGUCUCUGGGCCGAUACUGACGCUGAGGAGUGAAAGCGUGGGGAGCGAACAGG
Molecule: ribosomal RNA, 253 nt
Filed under: uncultured bacterium
Lineage: Bacteria
Description: partial 16S ribosomal RNA
Rfam family: Bacterial small subunit ribosomal RNA
Source: RNAcentral